This 326-nucleotide ribosomal RNA is filed under the name uncultured eukaryote. Its description in RNAcentral is "partial 18S ribosomal RNA". It matches the Rfam family "Eukaryotic small subunit ribosomal RNA", at positions 1470 to 1796 of the family's 1831-position model. The record is from RNAcentral.
CCCUUAGAUGUUCUGGGCCGCACGCGCGCUACAAUGAUGCAGGCAACGAGUGCCGCUCCUUAGCCGAAAGGCUUGGGGAAUCUUGAAAACUGCAUCGUGCUAGGGAUAGAUGAUUGCAAUCGUGCAUCUUGAACGAGGAAUGCCUUGUAAGCGUGAGUCAUCAACUCGCGCUGAAUACGUCCCUGCCCUUUGUACACACCGCCCGUCGCUCCUACCGAUUGGAUGGUCCGGUGAACUGGUCGGACUGCUGUUUGAAAUUGCGGGUGCAGUUGAUUCACGGGAAGUCUAGUAAACCUUAUCAUCUAGAGGAAGGAGAAGUCGUAGCA